UACGUAGGGGGCAAGCGUUGUCCGGAAUCAUUGGGCGUAAAGAGCGUGUAGGCGGUUCGGUAAGUCGGCUGUGAAAGUCCAGGGCUCAACCCUGGAAAGCGGGUGGAUACUGCCGGGCUAGAGUCCGGAAGAGGCGAGUGGAAUUCCUGGUGUAGCGGUGGAAUGCGCAGAUAUCAGGAGGAACACCAACAGCGAAGGCAGCUCGCUGGGACGGUACUGACGCUGAGGCGCGAAAGCGUGGGGAGCGAACAGG
Molecule: ribosomal RNA, 253 nt
Filed under: uncultured bacterium
Lineage: Bacteria
Description: partial 16S ribosomal RNA
Rfam family: Bacterial small subunit ribosomal RNA
Source: RNAcentral